UACGUAGGGUGCGAGCGUUAAUCGGAAUUACUGGGCGUAAAGCGUGCGCAGGCGGUUCGUCGUGUCCGAUGUGAAAGCCCCGGGCUCAACCUGGGAAUGGCAUUGGAAACUGGCGGACUCGAGUGUGGCAGAGGGGGGUGGAAUUCCGCGUGUAGCAGUGAAAUGCGUAGAGAUGCGGAGGAACACCGAUGGCGAAGGCAGCCCCCUGGGCUAACACUGACGCUCAGGCACGAAAGCGUGGGGAGCAAGCAGG
Molecule: ribosomal RNA, 253 nt
Filed under: uncultured bacterium
Lineage: Bacteria
Description: partial 16S ribosomal RNA
Rfam family: Bacterial small subunit ribosomal RNA
Source: RNAcentral